UGAAUGUGUUGGACCACAGUGUGUAUCUCAUCCCCAGCCAGAGAUAUUUGUGCAGCUGGCUUGCAGUUCCCCUCUCCCUAAUGUGCAGGCAAGGGGAUGGAGAGGAUGUAUGAAUGCUGGGGCACCUUUUUAUCAAGAAAAUUCACUGCUGAAUCACAGCUGAGACACAGGAUACAGAGGCUCAAGCUCUGUUUGGGAAGGAGUGGGGAGCAAAGGUGGGGAGGAGACCUUUAACCAUCACCUACCCCUUUAUCACUGGCUGUUGUCUGCCUGAUCCCAUGUCAUACAACAUGACAGUGUUUGUAUUGCUUCCCUGUUCCCAUUUAGAUUAGAGAUUGACCAAUGUGACCUGUGUUUCCAGACCUUUGUUUGAACACAGCUAAUGCAAGUCUUGCUCUGGUGGAAGCCCUGCUGUGUCCUAUUCCCAUUUGGACAGAAAGCCUCUGAAUCUGCUUGGAUCAUGAGGAAGACAAAGCAUUCCUGGGCAGCCGUGGCGGGAAGAGGCAACAAGGGGGAGAAAACGGCUGAGGAAAAUGCAAGAAUACUGCCCAAGGCCACACAUGAGGAGAGAAAGAAGCAGGAGGCAAAGAGGAAAGGGACACUGAAAACCUUGGCAGGCAAAUUGCUAAAGACUGUGGUUGGUGGGAAAGAGGCAAUGAAGAAGGCUGGCGGUGAGGAUGUGGCAGGGAAUUUGCUAAAGAUGCCAACCAAUAGGAAGGGAGCGGAGAGAGGGACACCUGCAGAGGAAACCAUCUGCAUAUGCAUUGAGCAAGGAAAAUUUUUGGAAGCUUGUGAUCAUAUUUAUAAUCUGAAGCAUUCUGGAAAUGAUGGUGUGCGAAAAUCUGAAUCACUUUAUGCGCUGCUGGCUGAACGAAUGUGGACUGUGGUGGAAGAAGUGCUCAGUGGAAGUGGCAGGAUGUUCCUGGAGCCAUUGCAGUCAGUGGGGGAGUCACUGAAGUGGGAGAAGCAGAAGGAAGCAGACUGGCUUGGCAACAGCCAAGGAAUGGAUUCUCUUUCCACCUGGAGUCCAAACUUCUGGAGGAAAGAUCUGGAGGAAAAACUGAUACAGUACGUGACAGCCCAGAUUCCCCUGUUUGGUUCCCCUGCUAACACAGAUGAUACUGCACUAAAACAGCAUCUUAGUCAUCUAGAAACGACAUUUCUCCCCAGCCUGGAACACAGAAGUGAUGUCUUUAAGGAAGCAGGACUGCUUGUCACCUAUGCCCGCUGCUGUCGUGCCUCUUUGUGUUCUCACCUUUCCACACUUACUGACAGUAACCAUUUCAGCUUCAGCCAAUGUCUUUUAAUUUAUGAAUGGGGCCUUAAAAUAUACAAAAGUGGCAGCAAGGCAUGUCUGAGACCCAGCCAGAUCCCCCAGCACAACCUUUCCCUUGAUGGACAGUAUCUCGUGUGGAUUAUUUUGAAGACUGAGGAAAAGUUACUUGCAGUCACACGGGAGGAAGUAGGGAAAGCCCUGAAAGAAGCCUUUGAUAUUGGGAAACCCCCUUGUACAGAUGCCGCAGUCAUUCAGAUACUAACAGAGAAGACAGAGGCUGCCAGGCGUGUCAGCGAGAGCCUCAGUGAGAAGGUGGAAGCUGUGUGCCUGGAGCAGUGCCUGAGGUUCCUGGAGAGCUAUGAAGAUGAAGUAAGAAGCUUUCUCCAGCUUGAUGACUGCCCACCAAUCUGCAGCAGCUUACGAAUCCUAGAGAACUGCUGCCUUCUCAGGACUGUCUGGCUUAAGCUAACAUACAUUUGCAGUGCCAGCACUGGCCAGGAUCUUAAGGUGAAUGGAUUUCUAGACAGGAUGGAAGAUGACAUUACAGAGCGUUUUCUGCAGACAGUCACUUCUAAAGUCAAGGGAACACUGAAGAAUCACUUCAAAAAGUGUGACAGUGGUUUUGGCCACAUUCUUGAAUCCUUAAAGCAAAGCUUUUUGGCCUUUGGGAAGAAACAAACAGAUAUGUAUGAGGCCCUCGUCCAGGCUGUCAAUGCCAUUGUUAUUACAGAAUAUGUACAGGCUCUCCUGACCACUCCCAGGAAACCAUCUUCUGUGCAGAGGAGGAAGGUUGUCAACAAGAUAGAAGAAGAUCAUAGGAUGAUGCAAGCCAUCUUUAAAGAGUGCUUAGGUCCUGCAGCUGGUCCCCUCAAGGAUCCCAUAAAAGCAAUUUUAGAACUUAUUCAAGCUUCCGAUGCGGAGGGGAUGGAAAUAGCUCUUCUGCCCAUUCUCAAAGAAUUUCCUGAGCUCAGGAAGGAACAUCUGAGUGCUGUGCUGGACCUCAAAGACUCACUCAGCCGACAAGACAGAACUGCUCUCUUGAAGGCAUUUGAAGAUAAUUGCAGGGAAUCAGAAACAGAAGCAAACUUACUUUUUGCAGAUAUAGAAGUAAAACCUAGAAAAUAUGGGCUCUGUGGCUGCCUCUGCUGUUAGCAAAGGCCUGCUGUGAGAAACGUGAAGCCUUGCUCCCAUGUGGCAGCAUCUGCAAUCACAGCUCCUUGAAAGCAUCAGGGACCCAUGCAGCUGGACAUAUGGAGAAGCCUGUCAGCUAUGGAAGACACAGUUCCUGCAUUUUUGCGGGAAAGCCACGUGGCUCAAAUCCUAAUCUUCUAUGCAAAAUCCAGGAGGGAGAUGGAUGGGAUAUGGCAGAAAGACAUUCCUCCAAAAUUUCCUAGAGAUUGCCACUUAGCUGAGUCCUGGUAGUUAUUCCCAGGAUGUGGCAUGGUGGCAUGUGUGAAGGAGGAAGGUUCACCCUUACCAAAUUUCUCUCUGUUUCCAUCCCUUGUUUCCUGCAAUCUCACAUGAAACCAGGGACUGCUGCACCACACGUUGUCCUAGUGUUGCAACCUCCUGAGGGACUUGGGAUCCUCUUGGGGAAUCCUGCCUAGCCCAUCGUGCUGGGAGUGCUUGCUGGUCUGGGCACCUUGAUCCACCCCCCCGAAGCCUGACCCACACCAGGAGGGGUGCAGACAGAGCUGCCUCUUCCUUCACUCACAAAGGCUGUGACCUGCUUCAGGGGCAACCUGCCAUGGUGGGCUGUGGGAUGGGGAGUGCUUCCCGUAUGAGUUUUACAGCUGGCUCUGGAGCAUAGUCUUGCAUUCAUUUUUAUCCCUUGGUUACUGGAAAUUUCCUCUUGGAGAGGGAGGAGAAAGCCUCAUGGGAAGCAGGCAGUGAAAGGAGUUGUUUGUCCGAGCCUCCGGGCAAGGUCUCUGCUAGUUUUCAGAUGUAAAUAGGCAGUUCUGACAGGAAAACACCGACUUUUCUUCCCAGUUAUCUAUGGACUGGUCACAACCUCCAAGCUGGAUGUGGUUCAAGGCCCUCCUUUGCUAUUGUGUGAAAACAGGCCAUUAAUGCUCCUGUCUGACAGCAUAAACAAGCAAAAGAACUCUGCCUCAUAUGUGCCAGUGCUUUUCUGAGCUGCCAUUUUCCCUCGAAUCUGCUUCCCUGACAAGUAAAGCGGAAAAUCUGUGCAUAACCUGUCAAUGUGUGAGGCAGCAGAUGUGUCAUGCCCUGGGACCCAGGGAAAGCGCAGACCUGGUGGGUUCUGCCACGUUCUGCGGUGCUGUGCCACCAUCCCAGGGGCACAGGUGUCCCAGCUCAGGGGCAUCUUCUCUGCCCAGAGCCCUGGGUGCAGAUGGGGUCCUGUGAGCUCUUCAGGAGCCAGGCAGGUUUGUAAUUGUCACUAGCUUUGCACCUGGUGCAGUGCUGAGCGUGGCAGAGCAGCAGGAAGGAAAAGGCUGCUCCAUCUCCAGGGAGUCCUCUGUGUGCUUUCAGGGCCCCACGAGACCUUGGCAUCGUUACACUGCAUCCCUCACGUCACUAAAGGGCAGUGAGAGCAUCUCAUGGCCUGAAUGCCCUUCCUGACUGCAUGGCUGCUCCAAAGUCCAGUCCUGGUGUCCCUCACGUUUCAUAGGUUGUGCAUUGCAGCUUCAGUGAGACCUUUCCUGGGAUGUGGGAAGGCUGGGGGAGCUGAGGCAGCUGCAGCCUGGACAGGUGGGCACAGCUGGGCUGUGGGGCUGAGUGGGCACCUGUCCUCCAAAGGGUGCCAGCCUUGCCAGGCACACUGGGCCAGUCACCCUCCCCUCCUGAUGAAUUGCACAUUUUUUCGAGGGUGGGAAGGGAUAACAGACCUGCAUGACAGACCCUAUUGUGACAGCAGGGUCAAGGUCAGCCUCUGCCAAUGGGAAUUUCCAGCAACAAGCCUUCCAGAGGAAAUAAAUAAAAAUAAAAGCCCCUCUGACA
Manacus vitellinus (golden-collared manakin) is the source of this 4237-nucleotide long non-coding RNA. The record is from Ensembl. Lineage: Eukaryota; Metazoa; Chordata; Aves; Passeriformes; Pipridae.